This 484-nucleotide ribosomal RNA is filed under the name uncultured bacterium. Its description in RNAcentral is "partial 16S ribosomal RNA". It matches the Rfam family "Bacterial small subunit ribosomal RNA", at positions 899 to 1397 of the family's 1533-position model. The record is from RNAcentral.
ACUCAAAUGAAUUGACGGGGACCCGCACAAGCGGUGGAGCAUGUGGUUUAAUUCGACGGUAAGCGAGGAACCUUACCAAGGCUUGACAUUCUUCUGCAAGCGCACGGAAACGUGUGACCUUCGAGGGUGAAGAACAGGUGCUGCACGGUUGUCGUCAGCUCGUGUCGUGAGAUGUUCCCUUAAGUGGGAGAACGAGCGCAACCCCCGUAAUAUGUUGAUUUUCAUAUUAGACUGCCGGCGUUUAAGCUGGAGGAAGGUGGGGAUGACGUCAAAUCAGCGUGGCUCUUACGCCUUGGGCUACACACGUGCUACAAUGGGAAGGUACAAAGGGACGCAAUACCGCAAGGUGGAGCAAAUCCCAUAAAAACUUCUCUCAGUUCGGAUUGGGGGCUGCAACUCGCCCCCAUGAAGCUGGAAUCGCUAGUAACCGUGAAUCAGCCUCGUCACGGUGAAUACGUUCUCGGGUUUUGUACACACCGCCCGU